GCUCAGAACGAACGCUGGCGGCAGGCCUAACACAUGCAAGUCGAGCGCGCCUUUCGAGGUGAGCGGCGGACGGGUUAGUAACGCGUGGGAAUAUACCCUUUUCUACGGAAUAGCCUCUGGAAACGGAGAGUAAUACCGUAUGAGCCCUUCGGGGGAAAGAUUUAUCGGGAAAGGAUUAGCCCGCGUUAGAUUAGGUAGUUGGUGGGGUAAUGGCCUACCAAGCCUACGAUCUAUAGCUGGUUUUAGAGGAUGAUCAGCAACACUGGGACUGAGACACGGCCCAGACUCCUACGGGAGGCAGCAGUGGGGAAUCUUGGACAAUGGGGGCAACCCUGAUCCAGCCAUGCCGCGUGAGUGAUGAAGGCCUUAGGGUCGUAAAGCUCUUUCGCCUGUGAAGAUAAUGACGGUAGCAGGUAAAGAAACCCCGGCUAACUCCGU
RNAcentral lists this ribosomal RNA (438 nucleotides) under Ruegeria sp. UGC1-2. Its description in RNAcentral is "bacterial SSU rRNA". It matches the Rfam family "Bacterial small subunit ribosomal RNA", at positions 22 to 506 of the family's 1533-position model. Lineage: Bacteria; Pseudomonadati; Pseudomonadota; Alphaproteobacteria; Rhodobacterales; Roseobacteraceae. The record is from RNAcentral.